Molecule: long non-coding RNA, 684 nt
Filed under: Olea europaea (common olive)
Lineage: Eukaryota; Viridiplantae; Streptophyta; Magnoliopsida; Lamiales; Oleaceae
Description: long non-coding RNA (OEUR_LNC004401)
Source: RNAcentral
GAGAUUUUAUGUAAUUGGAAUUGAUUUACAUAUCCUUUUAGAAAUUCAAUGAGAGAUUGUUGUUCUGAAGGUUUUCCUUUUUUGUUGUUGUGUUAUUCAUUUUGGUUACACCAUGGUGUUGUGAAUCGUGAAUUGAAUUACUUCCAACACUAUAUAGGCUAAUUUGGGCUUAAUUUGCUUUUGCUUUCAGUAACUUGAUAUUGCUUUCAAUUACAUGAUUUGGGCUUAAUUGGCUUUUGCUUCCAGCCUUAAUACUGGAUCUUUCCUUGCAAAACGUAACGCCUUCAAUGCAAUGAUUUUUAAUCGUAGAUCUCUCAGGAAGGACUGAUAAUCAACAUUUGAUGUGAAUAUUGUAGGACAUAUCUGUGUGUUUUGCCCAGUGCCGGCCAACACCACUUGGGAACUAAAUUGGGUUAUGUGGACAACUUUUCCAAAGGCUACGGUCAUCCACUGGAACAAUAUAUCAACAACAACCAUAUAAAUUUCUUGGUGGAAGAUACUUGCCUCCUUGAAAACCACUACUCGAACUAGUGAAGCUCCAUCCUGUUUAUCAAAGUGUAUAUUCAGCCACGCUUAAAAAUAUAAGUUAACAGUUUGCCCUAUAGGUUUAAUAUGUUUUAUGUCAACUUACAAUAUAUUACAGUUCUUAUGUGGUUUUAUGUCUUUAUCAUUAUUAAAUCCAUG